ACUCCUACGGGAGGCAGCAGUGGGGAAUCUUCCGCAAUGGACGAAAGUCUGACGGAGCAACGCCGCGUGAGUGAAGAAGGUUUUCGGAUCGUAAAGCUCUGUCUUCAAGGACGAAUGUAGAUAUUGUGAAUAAUGAUAUUUAAUGACGGUACUUGAGGAGGAAGCCACGGCUAACUACGUGCCAGCAGCCGCGGUAAUAC
RNAcentral lists this ribosomal RNA (200 nucleotides) under uncultured bacterium. RNAcentral describes it as "partial 16S ribosomal RNA". It matches the Rfam family "Bacterial small subunit ribosomal RNA", at positions 335 to 526 of the family's 1533-position model. The record is from RNAcentral.